Brassica napus (rape) is the source of this 525-nucleotide long non-coding RNA. RefSeq lists it as uncharacterized. Lineage: Eukaryota; Viridiplantae; Streptophyta; Magnoliopsida; Brassicales; Brassicaceae. The record is from RefSeq and is a predicted model, not a curated record. The transcript has 3 exons.
AAACGACGGCGUUUCAGAGACGGACGACGAGGAGAUUAACCGGCCGCGUCUUAGAAAAGUGUUAGUGGAAUCUCACAUUCCAACUGAAAAGGUAUCUGGUGAAGUCAGCAGUGUGAGAGAUCUCUCAUUCAGGUUGUUCUAAGACUUAGAGAGGAUGUUUUAGGAGAUAGAGGCAGUGUCUCUGCUAGGAAUCCUCCUCCUGCAAGAUCUGAUCAUGCCGGUUUCACACUUCCUCCUGUUGUAUCUUCUGUUCCAGAAUAUGCUCUGUAGAUUUUGAUCAGGACGAGAGACAGGGGAAAGCAGCUGGGAAUGGUUUCUUCAGACAGAUUCUAUGGUUAUGAAAGUAGUUUCCCGGCAAGAGAUCAUGGUUUGGUAUCAGUCGGGUCCAUACUCAUAUGGAGGGUAAGUUUUGCAAACUACAACAAAGAACUUGGCUUCUUCUUUAUCACUUUGUUUCAAAUGGUUUAAAACUUUUUUUUCUCGUGUAUUAGUUAUUGUUUGUCUUCUCAAAUACUUGUAAAAAUC